AACGAACGCUGGCGGCAUGCCUAACACAUGCAAGUCGAACGAUGCUUUCGGGCAUAGUGGCGCACGGGUGCGUAACGCGUGGGAAUCUGCCCUUGGGUUCGGAAUAACAGUGAGAAAUUGCUGCUAAUACCGGAUGAUGUCUUCGGACCAAAGAUUUAUCGCCCAGGGAUGAGCCCGCGUAGGAUUAGCUAGUUGGUGGGGUAAUGGCCUACCAAGGCGACGAUCCUUAGCUGGUCUGAGAGGAUGAUCAGCCACACUGGGACUGAGACACGGCCCAGACUCCUACGGGAGGCAGCAGUGGGGAAUAUUGGACAAUGGGCGCAAGCCUGAUCCAGCAAUGCCGCGUGAGUGAUGAAGGCCUUAGGGUUGUAAAGCUCUUUCACCCGGGAUGAUAAUGACAGUACCGGGAGAAUAAGCUCCGGCUAACUCCGUG
RNAcentral lists this ribosomal RNA (433 nucleotides) under uncultured bacterium. RNAcentral's name for it is "partial 16S ribosomal RNA". It matches the Rfam family "Bacterial small subunit ribosomal RNA", at positions 29 to 507 of the family's 1533-position model. The record is from RNAcentral.